Molecule: ribosomal RNA, 314 nt
Filed under: uncultured Mortierella
Lineage: Eukaryota; Fungi; Mortierellomycota; Mortierellomycetes; Mortierellales; Mortierellaceae
Description: partial large subunit ribosomal RNA
Rfam family: Eukaryotic large subunit ribosomal RNA
Source: RNAcentral
AUAUCAAUAAGCGGAGGAAAAGAAACUAACAAGGAUUCCCCUAGUAACGGCGAGUGAAGCGGGAUGAGCUCAAAUUUAAAAUCUGGCUGGUUUACUAGUCCGAAUUGUAGUUUAUAGAAGCGUUUUCGGUGGCAGCCUGGGUAUAAAUCCUUUGGAAUAGGGUAUCAUAGAGGGUGAGAAUCCCGUCUGUGACCGGUAGCUUGCCGCGUACGAUCUGUACUCCCCGAGUCGCGUUGUUUGGGAUUGCAGCGCUAAAUGGGUGGUAAAUUUCAUCUAAAGCUAAAUAUCGACGAGAGACCGAUAGCGCACAAGUA